RNAcentral lists this ribosomal RNA (497 nucleotides) under uncultured bacterium. Its description in RNAcentral is "partial 16S ribosomal RNA". It matches the Rfam family "Bacterial small subunit ribosomal RNA", at positions 28 to 507 of the family's 1533-position model. The record is from RNAcentral.
GAUGAACGCUGGCGGCGUGCCUAAUACAUGCAAGUCGAGCGAACAGAUGAGGAGCUUGCUCCUUUGACGUUAGCGGCGGACGGGUGAGUAACACGUGGAUAACCUACCUAUAAGACUGGGAUAACUUCGGGAAACCGGAGCUAAUACCGGAUAAUAUAUAGAACCGCAUGGUUCAAUAGUGAAAGACGGUUCUGCUAUCACUUAUAGAUGGAUCCGCGCCGCAUUAGCUAGUUGGUAAGGUAACGGCUUACCAAGGCGACGAUACGUAGCCGACCUGAGAGGGUGAUCGGCCACACUGGAACUGAGACACGGUCCAGACUCCUACGGGAGGCAGCAGUAGGGAAUCUUCCGCAAUGGGCGAAAGCCUGACGGAGCAACGCCGCGUGAGUGAUGAAGGUCUUCGGAUCGUAAAACUCUGUUAUUAGGGAAGAACAAAUGUGUAAGUAACUAUGCACGUCUUGACGGUACCUAAUCAGAAAGCCACGGCUAACUACGUG